RNAcentral lists this ribosomal RNA (334 nucleotides) under uncultured eukaryote. Its description in RNAcentral is "partial 18S ribosomal RNA". It matches the Rfam family "Eukaryotic small subunit ribosomal RNA", at positions 1470 to 1796 of the family's 1831-position model. The record is from RNAcentral.
CCCUUAGAUGUCCGGGGCCGCACGCGCGCUACACUGAAGGAAUCAGCGUGGCUUUCUCCCUGACCCGAAAGGGUUGGGAAACCCGUUGAAUCUCCUUCGUGAUAGGGAUUGGGGCUUGAAAUUGUUCCCCAUGAACGAGGAAUUCCCAGUAAGCGCGAGUCAUAAGCUCGCGUUGAUUACGUCCCUGCCCUUUGUACACACCGCCCGUCGCUACUACCGAUUGAACGGUUUAGUGAGGGCCUCGGAUUGGUCUCGGCCCGCUCUUUACCGGGCGGCGCCGUUGGUCGAGAAGACGCUCGAUCUUGAUCGUUUAGAGGAAGUAAAAGUCGUAACA